Non-coding RNA from Lamprotornis superbus, 78 nucleotides. The record is from the annotation of a GenBank genome assembly. Lineage: Eukaryota; Metazoa; Chordata; Aves; Passeriformes; Sturnidae.
GACCCUGAGAUUGGCUUAGCUGGUUAGAGCAUGGAGUUAAUAACACCAGGAUUGGGGGUUCAAUUCCUGUAUGGGCCA